UACGGAGGGUGCAAGCGUUAUCCGGAUUUACUGGGUUUAAAGGGUGCGUAGGUGGAUAAUUAAGUCAGUGGUGAAAUCUUCAGGCUUAACCUGGAAACUGCCAUUGAUACUAUUUAUCUUGAAUACUUUGGAGGUAAGCGGAAUAUGUCAUGUAGCGGUGAAAUGCUUAGAUAUGACAUAGAACACCAAUUGCGAAGGCAGCUUACUACACAGUAAUUGACACUGAGGCACGAAAGCGUGGGGAUCAAACAGG
RNAcentral lists this ribosomal RNA (253 nucleotides) under uncultured bacterium. Its description in RNAcentral is "partial 16S ribosomal RNA". It matches the Rfam family "Bacterial small subunit ribosomal RNA", at positions 524 to 776 of the family's 1533-position model. RNAcentral also lists the same sequence under 1 other name. The record is from RNAcentral.